Arachis duranensis is the source of this 2470-nucleotide RNA transcript. It is a transcript of the gene named dihydrofolate synthetase-like, with no coding region annotated. NCBI's taxonomy places the organism in Eukaryota, Viridiplantae, Streptophyta, Magnoliopsida, Fabales, Fabaceae. The record is from RefSeq and is a predicted model, not a curated record. The transcript has 7 exons.
UCUCACAAUUGCCCUAACACAUUCAGAUCAAAUAACCCUAAGCCCACACACGAAGCGACGAUUGCUCUCUAAGCCCUCCAGAUCAGAUAACCCUAACCUUGUCUUCAUUGUGCCUCACGAAGAAUCCCCUAACUACGAUGAGGAACAUCAGAUCGAAGAACCCCUAACCUCUCUUCAUUGUGCACUCCCCGAAGAAUGUUGCCGGCGCGCACGAUACCUCCGUCGGCAAUCCCUCUUCUGGCCCGUAACCCUCCUUUAAGUUUCUUCUCUCUUCUCUCGACACUGUCUCCCUCAAGCUCACUGUGGCUCACCUCUCUCAUGGCUGGUCUCGCCGUCGACCCCUCUUUCUCUGGUUUCACGCUUCUCUCGCACCCGUUUUGGACUCAAGCUCGUCGCGCUCUGUCACCACUGUCGCAAGCUCUGUCACGCUCUGUCACCAUUGCAAGCUUGUCUUCUUGCAUCGGCCGACAACGCUUCCUUUUAUCAUGAGUUGGUCCUAGGUAGGUUGGUAAAUUAGGAACUGGGAGGAUGAAAUUGAGUUAGAUGGAGAAGUGAUUGAAUUGAGUUACCGCGGCUCGUAUCCCUGGUGGCAAUUGCUGAGAGGAAGUGUAGAGAGAAGCUCAGCCAGAGCUUCAUUUCUUUAUCUGCCCUUGUUCCUGGUGUUCACUACUAUGGCAUUCAUCUUGUUCGCUGAAGAGAAUGUUGACAUUGCUGUUGUUGAGGCUGGUUUAGGGGGUGCUCGGGAUGCAAUGAAUGUUAUAUCCAGCUCUGGCCUUGCUACCUCAGUUAUAACCACCGUCAGGGAAGAACAUUUAGCAGCUCUUGGUGGUUCAUUGGAAACUAUUGCAGUGGCAAAGACAGGAUUCAUAAAACAAAACCGCCCAGUUAGGUGUUUCUCUCCAUGAUCUUAUUUUCUCAAUAAUAAAACUAUCGUUUGUUUAAUCCUUGCAUUCUAUACGUAAAAUAGACCAAAAAUAGUUAUUGAUAUGAAAUAUCCUUUCAUUUAUGUCUUAAUUUAAAGCAUAAUAACAUUUUUUGAGAGAAAAAUACCCUAAAAUGUCUGCAAAGUGGCAAAACAGGGAUCUUAUAUUGCUGUGACAGCUAAAUAGGAUUUCCUUUUUCUCGGAUGGAUUGGACCUAUCUUCUAUGGAUUUAGAUUUGUGUUAAUGUAUAAAUUCUAAAAUUUUAUUCUUCAUACAUAAACACCAAAGCGAAAUAAAACUUUUCUCUAUAUUCUUGGUACAGAGAUAUUUAUCUUUUACAAUUUUAUUACCAUUAUGGACAAUAUUGUUUAUCUUUUCUCUAUAUUCAUGGUAUGCCAAUGGCUGCACUAAUUUACUAAUGCACUAAUUUACUAAUUUACUAAUUUCAUGAUAUGGUGGUGUUCAGAACCUUUGUGAUAAAGAUUUUUAGAGUUUGAUCCUUAUUGCCCUAAUCCUAAAAUUGUAUUUUAGCACAAUAUAUGGGUAGACCUCUGUAUUGUCCAUGCAAUAAGCCCAAGAUAAUUGGUUGCGAGGGGCAUGCAUAUUAGAUGCCUCUACUAAACAACUUAAGUUUUUGGAAAAGUUGCUUCAAUGAUAAAUUUUACUAGUUUGAAUGAAUUGAUAUAGGUAUUUGAUUAUAGGCUUAAUGUAUCUAAUGACGAUGCUCUAAUUCUGAUAGAUUGUAGGUGCAGAAAAUCCAGUUUUAAUGUCUGCAGCUGAGCAGAUAUUUAGCGCCGUUGGGAAGAGGAUGAGACCAGCUCUGGUGUUCAUGGUGUCAUGGGCUACAGCAGAGCUACUUGGCUUGAAAUAAGAGCUAACCUAAAUGAGCAUUUUGGUUCCUGCCGGGAGAUCUCGAGGGUGUCAGUCCCAAAAGAUUUCGAGUCUGGAGGUCCUAAAUGUUUUGCCUACAUCGACUUCAAGGAUUCUUCUAGCAUGAAGAGAGCUCUAGAACUCAAAUGAAACUGAACUUGCUGUAUUUAACAGGUUAUGGUGGUCGAUGCUGAGGCAUACACCUAUGAUGAUGAGGUCAUCAAGAAAGCUGAAGCAAUGGGGAAGCCCGAAAAUCCUGAAGAAGAAGCUAUUGUGGAAACUACUAGAGCCAUAAAACAUCAUCAAGAAAGUUGAAGCAAUGGGGAAGCCCGAAAAUCCUAAAGAAGAAGCUACUGUGGAAACUACCAGAGCCAUAAAAGCUUCUCAGUUGUUGCUAAAUGCAAUUGAAAUACUGAAGACGAAGCUGGAUGCAUGCUGUACGUCUAUGAGCACAUAGUGGAGGCUGAUGAUUAGUUUGGUAAAUUGGGUGCACAUAUGUGAGGAGGUUGAUCAAAAUUAUUGUUAGAUAGGAUGGCAAAGUUAUUGGAAUUGUAAUUUAUGUAUUAGGAAUACAUUGCGUAGUUAUCAUUUUUAUUUUUGAUAUUUUGUUAUACUGUCAUGUGAUUAAACAUUUUUUUGACAAGUUUAUAUAUGUUGGAUUAGUGGAUUUAAAAUUA